This 701-nucleotide long non-coding RNA is filed under the name Coturnix japonica (Japanese quail). RNAcentral's name for it is "lncRNA (ENSCJPG00005014347.1)". The record is from RNAcentral. Lineage: Eukaryota; Metazoa; Chordata; Aves; Galliformes; Phasianidae.
AGGCAGUGCUUGCUUUACCCCACAAUGCUUUCAACGAAAGGAUAAAACCCUUAUGCUUUAAACAGAAGAGAAAUGAGAACUGACCUGGUACCACAAAGCAGGCUGCCUCAGAAGCCUCCACGCUGUUCCUCACAGCCAACUGAUCUCUUCUCAAGCACCCCUUUCCACAUCCAUGCUGGUCUUAAGUCCAAGCUCAAUGCAGACUGCAACCUUUUCUUUCCGACCAGGCUACAAAAUGGCAACUUCUUCCCGUCCAACACUUGCUCUCUGAUUUCACAGCUCUCCCUCGUUACAAUAACGACGAACAGAUCUGUUAUCUUGCUGGUUCAGACUUCCCAACUCUCAAAUCAUCACUGAAGAAACCUUGCUGCAAAGCUUAACUCCAUCUAGUCCUCAUUUCCUGCCUCCACACCAUUUUCUGCCAAUGUUCAUGUUAUAUGGCAGGUAAAUAUCACGGUGUGCCUUGAUGUCAGCAACCUAGUCCAGAUGGAGCUAGGACUAACUGGGCCAUGCAGCUUGAUCCUUGAAUUUAGACUUCUAGCUCUAACUUAACUCCUAAGCCACUAAUCCUUCCUAAUUAAUCCACUGUUCUCUCUAGUUUCCUACAGACUCUACCUCUGGUGUAGUCUAGUAUUGAGCAAACUUUGUUCUAUCAGUUUAUUGUAUGGGCUAUGAUCAGGGUUUGUAGGGCUCAGAACUUU